Molecule: ribosomal RNA, 483 nt
Filed under: uncultured bacterium
Lineage: Bacteria
Description: partial 16S ribosomal RNA
Rfam family: Bacterial small subunit ribosomal RNA
Source: RNAcentral
GACGAACGCUGGCGGCGUGCUUAACACAUGCAAGUCGAACGGAAAGGCCCUGCUUUUGUGGGGUGCUCGAGUGGCGAACGGGUGAGUAACACGUGAGUAACCUGCCCCCUUCUUUGGGAUAACGUCGGGAAAUCGGCGCUAAUACUGGAUAUUCUUGCUGCAUCGCAUGGUGUGGUUUGGAAAGGGUUUCUGGUGGGGGAUGGGCUCGCGGCCUAUCAGCUUGUUGGUGGGGUGAUGGCCUACCAAGGCUUUGACGGGUAGCCGGCCUGAGAGGGUGUCCGGCCACACUGGGACUGAGACACGGCCCAGACUCCUACGGGAGGCAGCAGUGGGGAAUAGUGCACAAUGGGCGCAAGCCUGAUGCAGCGACGCCGCGUGAGGGAUGACGGCCUUCGGGUUGUAAACCUCCUUCAGUAUGGAACAAGGAUCCUUCUUUUGGGGGGUUUGAGGGUACGUGCAGAAGAAGCGCCGGCUAACUACGUG